RNAcentral lists this long non-coding RNA (212 nucleotides) under Elaeis guineensis (African oil palm). RNAcentral describes it as "long non-coding RNA (EGUI_LNC076737)". The record is from RNAcentral. Lineage: Eukaryota; Viridiplantae; Streptophyta; Magnoliopsida; Arecales; Arecaceae.
UAUUUUAGUCCAAAUUACUCUCCACCAUUAUUUUGAAGUUAUAUAAAGGGACUUAAAGGAGGGAAUAAAAAAAGAGAAGUGAGAGAGAUUUUUGAAAAAGGUUCUUCAAGCAUUCUUUACAACCCUAAGCAAGAGCCCACUUAAAGAGUUCAAGAAGCUUUUAAUUCAAGUUCACCAACACCUUAAGAGCUCAUUCAAGUCUCCAACCACCU